AGGUUGAAAGAUCAGUUGGCAGAGCAGUGCGUUGGUACCGCACUGUCCCGGGUUCAAGUCCCGGCCGACGCUA
Non-coding RNA from Phthorimaea operculella (potato tuberworm), 73 nucleotides. Lineage: Eukaryota; Metazoa; Arthropoda; Insecta; Lepidoptera; Gelechiidae. The record is from the annotation of a GenBank genome assembly.